AGUGAACGCUGGCGGUAGGCCUAACACAUACAAGUCGAACGGCAGCACAGUAAGAGCUUGCUCUUACGGGUGGCGAGUGGCGGACGGGUGAGGAAUACAUCGGAAUCUACUUUUUCGUGGGGGAUAACGUAGGGAAACUUACGCUAAUACCGCAUACGACCUACGGGUGAAAGCAGGGGAUCUUCGGACCUUGCGCGAUUGAAUGAGCCGAUGUCGGAUUAGCUAGUUGGCGGGGUAAAGGCCCACCAAGGCGACGAUCCGUAGCUGGUCUGAGAGGAUGAUCAGCCACACUGGAACUGGGACACGGUCCAGACUCCUACGGGAGGCAGCAGUGGGGAAUAUUGGACAAUGGGCGGAAGCCUGAUCCAGCCAUACCGGGUGGGUGAAGAAGGCCUUCGGGUUGUAAAGCCCUUUUGUUGGGAAAGAAAAGCAGCAGGUUAAUACCCCGCUGUUCUGACGGUACCCAAAGAAUAAGCACCGGCUAACUUCGUG
RNAcentral lists this ribosomal RNA (492 nucleotides) under uncultured bacterium. Its description in RNAcentral is "partial 16S ribosomal RNA". It matches the Rfam family "Bacterial small subunit ribosomal RNA", at positions 29 to 507 of the family's 1533-position model. The record is from RNAcentral.